This 933-nucleotide ribosomal RNA is filed under the name Paenibacillus chitinolyticus. Its description in RNAcentral is "bacterial SSU rRNA". It matches the Rfam family "Bacterial small subunit ribosomal RNA", at positions 65 to 963 of the family's 1533-position model. Lineage: Bacteria; Bacillati; Bacillota; Bacilli; Caryophanales; Paenibacillaceae. The record is from RNAcentral.
AGCGGACUUGAUGAGAAGUUGCUUCUCUGAGAGUUAGCGGCGGACGGGUGAGUAACACGUAGGCAACCUGCCUGUAAGAUCGGGAUAACUACCGGAAACGGUAGCUAAGACCGGAUAAUCGGUUUCUCCGCAUGGGGAGAUCGUGAAACACGGAGCAAUCUGUGGCUUACGGAUGGGCCUGCGGCGCAUUAGCUAGUUGGUGAGGUAACGGCUCACCAAGGCGACGAUGCGUAGCCGACCUGAGAGGGUGAACGGCCACACUGGGACUGAGACACGGCCCAGACUCCUACGGGAGGCAGCAGUAGGGAAUCUUCCGCAAUGGACGCAAGUCUGACGGAGCAACGCCGCGUGAGUGAUGAAGGUUUUCGGAUCGUAAAGCUCUGUUGCCAGGGAAGAACGCCAAGGAGAGUAACUGCUCUUUGGGUGACGGUACCUGAGAAGAAAGCCCCGGCUAACUACGUGCCAGCAGCCGCGGUAAUACGUAGGGGGCAAGCGUUGUCCGGAAUUAUUGGGCGUAAAGCGCGCGCAGGCGGUUUUUUAAGUCUGGUGUUUAAUCCCGAGGCUCAACCUCGGUUCGCACCGGAAACUGGGAGACUGGAGUGCAGGAGAGGAAAGUGGAAUUCCACGUGUAGCGGUGAAAUGCGUAGAGAUGUGGAGGAACACCAGUUGGCGAAGGCGACUUUCUGGCCUGUAACUGACGCUGAGGCGCGAAAGCGUGGGGAGCAAACAGGAUUAGAUACCCUUGGUAGUCCACGCCGUAAACGAUGCAUGCUAGGGUGUUAGGGGGUUUCGAUACCCUUGGGUGCCGAAGUUAACACAAGUAAGCAUGGCCGCCUGGGGGAGUACGCUCCGCAAGAGUGAAACUCCAAGGGAAUUUGACGGGGGACCCGCACAAGCAAGUGGGAGUAUGGGGGUUUAAUUCCAAAGCAACGG